This is a small nuclear RNA of Syzygium oleosum, 100 nucleotides long. The record is from RefSeq and is a predicted model, not a curated record. Lineage: Eukaryota; Viridiplantae; Streptophyta; Magnoliopsida; Myrtales; Myrtaceae.
GUCUCUUUGGCGACAUCUGAUAAAAUUGAGAUGAUACAGAAAAAAUUAGGAUGGCGGCUGCGCAAACGAAAAUAUUUUACUAUAAAUUUCUUUUUAUCUU